Molecule: long non-coding RNA, 459 nt
Filed under: Rhinopithecus bieti (black snub-nosed monkey)
Lineage: Eukaryota; Metazoa; Chordata; Mammalia; Primates; Cercopithecidae
Description: lncRNA (ENSRBIG00000045716.1)
Source: RNAcentral
CAGAGGUAGUUGCUAGGAGACGGUAUUGUCCGCGGCUGUUUAGAUGUGAGGACACUGGUUUGCCUAGUGUCUGGAGUAUUGUUUGGUUUUAGUUAAGACUAGGCCGGAGAUCAGACACUGGUUUGCCUAGUGCCUUAGGUGCCUAAAGGUCUAAAACAGUUAUUAGAGGAGAUAUAAGAAGCAGGUAAUAGAAUGAUGACAGUAAUAGAAUGAUGACAGAAUAGUUAGGAAGGAGCCGAGGAAGAGGAGGGCAGGAAUAGACUGAAGAGGAAGGCGGAAUGAGAGUAAGAGACAGCUACCGAUAAGGCAAGAAUGAGAGGGAGUGUGGAAGGAAGUCUUAGAGUUGGUUCUAUCCUUUGUGUAAAAGGGCUGAAUUGGGCUCAUCCCGUUACAGAAUCUGUGGCAUAUUACUAUCCAGAAAUUCUUUUAUGUCAAAUAGAAGCAGCUAAACUGGUAUGA